RNAcentral lists this long non-coding RNA (1476 nucleotides) under Gallus gallus (chicken). RNAcentral describes it as "long non-coding RNA NONGGAT001426". Lineage: Eukaryota; Metazoa; Chordata; Aves; Galliformes; Phasianidae. The record is from RNAcentral.
CGCAAUUACCAAGAUAGUUUUAAUGUGUCAUUGACUAUGGGAUACUUUGUCUUCGCUUGUUUUAAAUACCUGGUCAAGCAAGGAGAAGCCAAUGCUGUUGUGCUCGCUAUAAAAAUAGAGUGGGAUAUGAUCUUCCAAAACUAAUAUUCUCAGAAAAAAUCUUAAGAGUUCCUAGUGAGGGGGAAAAGAUUGCAAUGAAAUGUUUUCUCCACUUGAAGACAUUUGCAGGCAUUUAACAGUGUCACAGCUGUGCAGGAACUGAAAGGCUCCUGACAGUUUAAAGCACACUGUGAUAUAUGUUCUCACCUUCCAACUUGCUCUUUGUUUCCCUCCCACGAUGCUGUUUUCAAAGUCAUUUACUGGGGAAGAAAAUAAAAUCACAAAAAGAAGCUGCAGUCUGUACAGUCCUCCCAUCCUCCGUAGCAAAGAUGUUGGUCGAUGCCUUAAUUAGCCCUACAACGUCGUGUCCCCCCCUUCACAUCUUCUAUAUAAAAGUGGUAAAAAUGGCAAAUAAGCCUGGGAGCAAUUUAGGGUCUAUAUCCAUAGAAAGCCCAAAGAAGCUAUGUGACACAGAUGCAGAAACCAACUGUUGUAUUUGACACAUUAACAAUUCCAGGGCUCCAACGGGAACAGCAAUGCGAGAAAAAUAAACUUCAUUUGGUUGGGUUCCACCUGAGAAAAUGUGCAACUAAUGAACAAAAUCUGAAGUCCCACUGGUGCUCUACAAACCUAAUUACAUGUCACCUAAUUGCUCUGAGAUACUCUGUGUUUGCCUAUGAAACACUGCGACUUCACAACUACUCUUUGGGUUGCUCUGAAAAGUCACCACCAUACACAAACUACUGUCGUUGUGAUAAAGGAAAAUUAGUAUGACUGCAAUCCACUCUGUGCUACUUCAACUGUGCCGGAUUUCACCCCUCCAUGUGCCCAACUGACUCAACAGUACUGAAUUUUGGCUAAAAUUGAACUGCUAACAGAAGGUAGCAAGGAACAGAUAGAGGAUCUUCUGCCCACCUCAAGAAGGACACGCUGUGCUGGCUUCAGGUAUUCAAUUCUGGCUCUCAACGCACCAAAGUACAGUGGAAAUUCCCUACCUAUUUUUUCUCAAAGAUGAGGGCAGUGCUUUAAGCCUUUAUGGACAUUUUUCACAAGAUUUCAACAGAAGAGUUUAUUCAGGGGAGAAGAUAUUCAUGAGCGUGUCCAAAUUCUUGCCUGAGAUUGCAACAAUGCAUUACAAAAACAAGGUCUCCGCUUCUGAGUGCCUCCACCUCACUGGGACAGAGCAGAGAAAUGAUUCAGCAGAAAGGCUCAAUCCAACAACUCAAUGGUAGGCACAACCCAAUCCAACAACUCAACGGUAGGCACAGCCCAAUCCAACAACUCAACAGUAGGCACAACCCAAUCCAACAACUCAACAGUAGGCACAACCCAAUCCAACAACUCAAUGGUAGGCACAGCCCAAUCCAACAACUCAAU